Molecule: long non-coding RNA, 342 nt
Filed under: Meriones unguiculatus (Mongolian gerbil)
Lineage: Eukaryota; Metazoa; Chordata; Mammalia; Rodentia; Muridae
Description: lncRNA (ENSMUGG00000019707.1)
Source: RNAcentral
GGGCGUGCCUCUGAGGCUCAGGACCCUCGGGAGACGUGUUUCAUAGCAAAGCUCCAGGGCCCUGGUGUGACGGACAGCAGGGUACAGGGCACAGCUCAGCUCCCCUGCAGUCACGCCAGCCAGCUCUCCGUGCGGUUACCCAACAGCCCCCUGGCUCAGAGCAGCAGAGACCAGCCCUCAGGGCACACUCUGUAGGCCUUUGAGGCAGCUGGAGGGAGCCAAGAUGACAGCAGGAGGCAAUCACAGAGGGCUUCUCGCAAGAGGCAGAGGCUUCCCACCAAGGAUUCCUGAAACGUAGCCUAGGAAACAGCUUGGCCAAAGGGAUUAGCCCCAGUCGUCUCA